AUUGAACGCUGGCGGCAGGCCUAACACAUGCAAGUCGAGCGGAUGAAGGGAGCUUGCUCCUGGAUUCAGCGGCGGACGGGUGAGUAAUGCCUAGGAAUCUGCCUGGUAGUGGGGGAUAACGUCCGGUAACGGGCGCUAUUACCGCAUACGUCCUGAGGGAGAAAGUGGGGGAUCUUCGGACCUCACGCUAUCAGAUGAGCCUAGGUCGGAUUAGCUAGUUGGUGGGGUAAAGGCCUACCAAGGCGACGAUCCGUAACUGGUUUGAGAGGAUGAUCAGUCACACUGGAACUGAGACACGGUCCAGACUCCUACGGGAGGCAGCAGUGGGGAAUAUUGGACAAUGGGCGAAAGCCUGAUCCAGCCAUGCCGCGUGUGUGAAGAAGGUCUUCGGAUUGUAAAGCACUUUAAGUUGGGAGGAAGGGCAGUAAGUUAAUACCUUGCUGUUUUGACGUUACCAACAGAAUAAGCACCGGCUAACUUCGUG
RNAcentral lists this ribosomal RNA (484 nucleotides) under uncultured bacterium. RNAcentral's name for it is "partial 16S ribosomal RNA". It matches the Rfam family "Bacterial small subunit ribosomal RNA", at positions 30 to 507 of the family's 1533-position model. The record is from RNAcentral.